GAUGAAGAACGUAGCGAAAUGCGAUAAGUAAUGUGAAUUGCAGAAUUCAGUGAAUCAUCGAAUCUUUGAACGCACAUUGCGCCCGCGAGUAUUCUCGCGGGCAUGCCUGUCCGAGCGUCAUUUCAACCCUCAGGGCCCGCCUGCUUGCAGGCGCGGCGCUGGUGUUGGGGAUCGGCUACCCUGCCGUCCCCCAAGUACAGUGGCGGUCUCGCUGCAGCCUCCCCUGCGUAGUAGCAACACUCGCAUGCGGAGCGCGGCGCGGCCACGCCGUAAAACCCCCGACUUUCUGAACGUUGACCUCGGAUCAGGUAGGAAUACCCGCUGAACUUAAGCAUAUCAAUAAGCGGAGGA
Molecule: unclassified non-coding RNA, 351 nt
Filed under: soil metagenome
Description: partial contains 5.8S ribosomal RNA, internal transcribed spacer 2, and large subunit ribosomal RNA
Rfam family: 5.8S ribosomal RNA (bases 1-120)
Source: RNAcentral